Molecule: ribosomal RNA, 230 nt
Filed under: uncultured bacterium
Lineage: Bacteria
Description: partial 16S ribosomal RNA
Rfam family: Bacterial small subunit ribosomal RNA
Source: RNAcentral
CCGGGGUGAGUAAUGUCUGGGAAACUGCCUGAUGGAGGGGGAUAACUGCUGGAAACGGUAGCUAAUACCGCAUAACGUCGCAAGACCAAAGAGGGGGACCUUCGGGCCUCUUGCCAUCGGAUGUGCCCAGAUGGGAUUAGCUAGUAGGUGGGGUAACGGCUCACCUAGGCGACGAUCCCUAGCUGGUCUGAGAGGAUGGCCAGCCACACUGGAACUGAGACACGGUCCAG